CGAGGGAACCUUAUAAUUUUCUAUCCUCUCACAGCUUCAUUGGAACAUACUAAAAUAACAAGAAUUGGCAAUGAACAUGGGCUUAGCGGUGAGCACAAUUUUCUGCUUCCAUAUGCUUAUUUAUUGUGAGUAGUUGGCAAACUAAUACAGUAGAAAGAUAGACAGAGUCUGAAGGGAGGAGCUUGAAGAUAUCUUUGGUGUGGUGGAUCUCUGUUGAUAGUGGUGGAAGACAUCAAACAUCUUGAUUUACAAAGAGAAGACAGCUAUUUAAUUGUUGCUAGGGAACAUGGCUAAGGGUUUGAUAUGGGCAACAGCCGAGGACUUGGCAAGGAAUAGAGGACGAGUCCUUUCUCUAUACUGUCAGAUAUUAAGAAGCCUCAAUUCCACAAAACUUCCCAUGAACUUCGCAGCAAGAUUGGCCAAGAAAGCAGAGGCUCGUGCUAUCUUCAUGCUAGGCGCGGAAGAGGAAUCCCUUCACAACAUUGAGGACCUCGUUGAUAGUGGAGUGUACGCUCUUUCCCUCUUAAGAGAAGGGGAAAUCCCUAAGUACAUCCAAUGAGUGCACCACUGGUUACUGAGCCUCUCUCAUACUGUGCUAUUGCUAGUUUUUGAUAGAAUUUACACUGUCCUUCAAAUUUCGUUUG
Long non-coding RNA from Papaver somniferum (opium poppy), 644 nucleotides. RefSeq lists it as uncharacterized. The transcript is spliced from 3 exons. The record is from RefSeq and is a predicted model, not a curated record. Lineage: Eukaryota; Viridiplantae; Streptophyta; Magnoliopsida; Ranunculales; Papaveraceae.